This is a long non-coding RNA of Prosopis cineraria, 580 nucleotides long. RefSeq lists it as uncharacterized. Lineage: Eukaryota; Viridiplantae; Streptophyta; Magnoliopsida; Fabales; Fabaceae. The record is from RefSeq and is a predicted model, not a curated record. The transcript has 3 exons.
CUCCUUCUCACUACCGAGUCACUCCUUCUCGCCGAGCCGCUACUGUCACUCCUUCUCGUUGUCGCACGUUGAGCCACUACCAUCCCGCCUCCUCGCUGCUGCAGGCCGAAUCACUGAUCGCCGCAGAGUCGCCUACUACAGGUACCUACACAAUUACAAGGUUGGGAGUGCGGAUACUAUGUUAUGGAGUUUAUAAGAGAAGUAAUCACACAACAAGAGUUGAUCAUUCCUAAAAAUGUCAAAUCAACCCCAAGCAACUAGAAGGAGAUUUGAAGCUCAAUCCAACAAGAAGCAUGGGACAUGUGCCACGGCCUAGUUGUGUUCAUAAAGGAAGCAAAGUACUCUUGAUGUUUUCGAACUAGAGUCUUUAUGAAAUCUUAGGGGAGAGUUGAUGGAAGAGGAGUUUAAAGUCUUCACUUGGCUAAGCUCAACUAUUUCUUCAUCUUGUUUCAAUUCCAUUAUAAUACUAUGAUUAUUGUUGAUUAUGGUUCAAUUUGACUUUAGUUACAUGGUUGUUUGUAAUUUUGUAAUGUUGAAACAAAAUUGUUAAGUUGAAUUUCAUGACCUAUAUGCUUCUGGA